GUGUGAGUGAUGAAGGUCUUCGGAUCGUAAAGCUCUGUCAGUUGGGAAUAAAUCAUCAAGCAUCAGAUCCUUGGUGUUGAAUGUACCAACAGAGGAAGCAACGGCUAACUCCGUGCCAGCAGCCGCGGUAAUACGGGGGUUGCAAGCGUUGUUCGAAAUUACUGGGCGUAAAGCGCGCGUAGGCGGUUUGGUAAGUCCUGUGUGAAAGCCUUCGGCUUAACCGGAGAAAGUCACAGGAUACUGCUAAGCUAGAGUAUGAGAGGGGAGAGCGGAAUUCCGAGUGUAGUGGUGAAAUACGU
RNAcentral lists this ribosomal RNA (299 nucleotides) under uncultured bacterium. Its description in RNAcentral is "partial 16S ribosomal RNA". It matches the Rfam family "Bacterial small subunit ribosomal RNA", at positions 399 to 691 of the family's 1533-position model. The record is from RNAcentral.